Hordeum vulgare subsp. vulgare (domesticated barley) is the source of this 711-nucleotide long non-coding RNA. RefSeq lists it as uncharacterized. The transcript has 2 exons. The record is from RefSeq and is a predicted model, not a curated record. Lineage: Eukaryota; Viridiplantae; Streptophyta; Magnoliopsida; Poales; Poaceae.
UGACACACCAGCACAUUCCAUAGUCAUACAUGUAAAUAUUAUUAUCCCUCAUUGAUAUACUUGAAGAGAAUUGAGUGAGUUGCACUAUAUUUUUAGAAUUACCGCUAAUCCUCAGCUGUUACCAAACAAUCAGAGAGAACAAGAGCUUGGCAGGAACAUCAAGAUUAUGCGAGUUUCUUGGAAUUGAACAAAGCUAAAGGGAUGAUACGGAAUCUCGAUAUGUGCUGAUGUACUUCUUACGAGCAAGUUGUUGAACAUUACCGCACGUAAUGUGGCGGCUGCUGCGACUCGUGGUGCUUUGGGCGCACAACCUUCGCCUGCUCACCCCGGCGUCCACAGCAACGACCACUGCUCCUUCUGUGAUGCUCAUGCCCGCGAGAUGGACAUGGGCUGCAUCAAGGACUCGUACGACGGUGCGCAGAGCGAGUAUGGCCUGGAGAGCCUCGACGAUGGCACGCACAGAUGAGCAGCUGCUCUGCAGCGGCAAGUCUUGUGACUGCAAUUGAACGACAUGAUAGAGAGGUGCUAGAUACAGAGUUAAGGUUUUGCUUAUUUAUUUGCUGAGUUUGAUACACUUUGGGAGAAGCGUGUAAUGGUUGCAUAUUGUAACCAGGUAUAGGUCACUGAUAUUUAUUCCUUAGGUUUAACAUACUUUUAGCUCUAAUGGAUUUGGUUUGCCUUGCUGUCAUUCAUUCAAAAAAAAAAUCUAAG